CAGUAGCCACGGUAAAACGAAGGGUGCAAGCGUUAAUCGGAAUUACUGGGCGUAAAGCGUGCGUAGGCGGUGAGUUAAGUCUGCUGUGAAAUCCCCGGGCUCAACCUGGGAAUGGCAGUGGAUACUGGCUCGCUAGAGUGUGUCAGAGGAUGGUGGAAUUCCCGGUGUAGCGGUGAAAUGCGUAGAGAUCGGGAGGAACAUCAGUGGCGAAGGCGGCCAUCUGGGACAACACUGACGCUGAGGCACGAAAGCGUGGGGAGCAAACAGGAUUAGAUACCCGCGUAGUCCCUGUCUCUUAUAC
This 301-nucleotide ribosomal RNA is filed under the name uncultured bacterium. RNAcentral's name for it is "partial 16S ribosomal RNA". It matches the Rfam family "Bacterial small subunit ribosomal RNA", at positions 509 to 807 of the family's 1533-position model. The record is from RNAcentral.